AUUUAAAUAGCUUAAGUAGAGUUUAAUAUUGAAGAUAUUAAGGUGAUUAAUUGAUCUUUAAAUA
This 64-nucleotide transfer RNA is filed under the name Agathymus mariae lajitaensis. RNAcentral describes it as "tRNA-Phe". Lineage: Eukaryota; Metazoa; Arthropoda; Insecta; Lepidoptera; Hesperiidae. The record is from RNAcentral.